AACGCUGGCGGCAUGUUAACACAUGCAAGUCGAACGAUGAUCCGGUGCUUGCACCGGGGAUUAGUGGCGAACGGGUGAGUAACACGUGAGUAACCUGCCCUUAACUCUGGGAUAAGCCUGGGAAACUGGGUCUAAUACCGGAUAUGACUCCUCAUCGCAUGGUGGGGGGUGGAAAGCUUUAUUGUGGUUUUGGAUGGACUCGCGGCCUAUCCGCUUGUUGGUGAGGUAAUGGCUCACCAAGGCGACGACGGGUAGCCGGCCUGAGAGGGUGACCGGCCACACUGGGACUGAGACACGGCCCAGACUCCUACGGGAGGCAGCAGUGGGGAAUAUUGCACAAUGGGCGCAAGCCUGAUGCAGCGACGCCGCGUGAGGGAUGACGGCCUUCGGGUUGUAAACCUCUUUCAGUAGGGAAGAAGCGAAAGUGACGGUACCUGCAGAAGAAGCGCCGG
This 452-nucleotide ribosomal RNA is filed under the name soil isolate KBS-EC5. RNAcentral describes it as "bacterial SSU rRNA". It matches the Rfam family "Bacterial small subunit ribosomal RNA", at positions 32 to 496 of the family's 1533-position model. The record is from RNAcentral.